GGAGGCAGCAGUCGGGAAUUUUGGGCAAUGGGCGAAAGCCUGACCCAGCAACGCCGCGUGAAGGAUGAAAUCCCUCGGGAUGUAAACUUCGCAAGAACGGGAAGAAUAAGUCGGUGCUAACACCAUCGGCGAUGACGGUACCGUUUGUAAGCUCCGGCUAACUCCGUGCCAGCAGCCGCGGUAAUACGGGGGGAGCAAGCGUUGUUCGGAUUUACUGGGCGUAAAGGGCGCGUAGGCGGCCACCGCAAGUCGACUGUGAAAUCUCCGGGCUUAACCCGGAAAGGUCAGCCGAUACUGCGGGGCUAGAGUGCAGAAGGGGCAACUGGAAUUCUCGGUGUAGCGGUGAAAUGCGUAGAUAUCGAUAGGAACACCUGCGGCGAAGGCGGGUUGUUGGGCUGACACUGACGCUGAGGCGCGAAAGCGUGGGGAGCGAACCGGAUUAGAUACCCGGGUAGUCCACGCCGUAAACGAUGGGCACUAGGUGUAGGGGGGAUUGACCCCCUUCGUGCCGAAGCUAACGCAAUAAGUGCCCCGCCUGGGGAGUACGGUCGCAAGGCUGAAACUUAAAGGAAUUGACG
RNAcentral lists this ribosomal RNA (578 nucleotides) under uncultured Acidobacteriota bacterium. Its description in RNAcentral is "bacterial SSU rRNA". It matches the Rfam family "Bacterial small subunit ribosomal RNA", at positions 344 to 915 of the family's 1533-position model. The record is from RNAcentral. Lineage: Bacteria; Pseudomonadati; Acidobacteriota.